AUUAACGCCGGCGGUGCGCCUAAUACAUGCAAGUCGUGCGAAAGAACAGUGAUAGCUUGCUAACACUGUUUGAAAGCGGCGAACGAGUGAGUAACACGUUGGAACCUGCCCCCAAUUCAGGGAUAACUUGCUGAAAGGCAAGCUAAUACCUGAUGGUCCCGCAAGGGUAAAGCUACGGCGAUUGAGGAGGGGCCUGCGUUCUAUCAGGUAGUUGGUGAGGUAAUGGCUCACCAAGCCGACGACGGAUAGCUGGUCUGAGAGGAUGAUCAGUCACGAUGGAACUGAGACACGGUCCAUACUCCUACGGGAGGCAGCAGUAAGGAAUUUUCCGCAAUGGACGAAAGUCUGACGGAGCGACACCGCGUGAAGGAUGAAACCCAUCGGGGCGUAAACUUCUUUUCUGGGGGAAGAAACCUAUGGGGUCGAAUAGGCCUCAUGGCUGACGGUACCCCAGGAAUAAGCUCCGGCUAACUCCGU
RNAcentral lists this ribosomal RNA (477 nucleotides) under uncultured bacterium. Its description in RNAcentral is "bacterial SSU rRNA". It matches the Rfam family "Bacterial small subunit ribosomal RNA", at positions 29 to 506 of the family's 1533-position model. The record is from RNAcentral.